RNAcentral lists this ribosomal RNA (459 nucleotides) under uncultured bacterium. Its description in RNAcentral is "partial 16S ribosomal RNA". It matches the Rfam family "Bacterial small subunit ribosomal RNA", at positions 338 to 795 of the family's 1533-position model. The record is from RNAcentral.
CCUACGGGGGACAGCAGUGAGGAAUAUUGGUCAAUGGGCGCAGGCCUGAACCAGCCAAGUCGCGUGAGGGAAGACUGCCCUAUGGGUUGUAAACCUCUUUUAUAAGGGAAGAAGAAUGACUACGUGUAGUCAGAUGCCCGUACCUUAUGAAUAAGCAUCGGCUAACUCCGUGCCAGCAGCCGCGGUAAUACGGAGGAUGCGAGCGUUAUCCGGAUUUAUUGGGUUUAAAGGGUGCGUGGGCGGUAUGUUAAGUUAGAGGUAAAACGUCGGGGCUUCACCUGGAUUGGCCAUUGAAACUGGAGUACUAGAGUGCAGACGAGGUAGGCGGAAUGAGUUGCGUAGCGGUGAAAUGCUUAGAUAUAACUUAGAACCCCGAUCGCGAAGGCAGCUUACCAGACUGUUACUGACGCUGAGGCACGAAAGCGUGGGUAGCGAACAGGAUUAGAUACCCCUGUAGUC